UAAUACGGAGGGUGCAAGCGUUAUCCGGAUUCACUGGGUUUAAAGGGUGCGUAGGCGGGUUGGUAAGUCCGUGGUGAAAUCCCCAAGCUUAACUUGGGAACUGCCGUGGAUACUAUCAAUCUUGAAUAUCGUGGAGGUAAGCGGAAUAUGUCAUGUAGCGGUGAAAUGCUUAGAUAUGACAUAGAACACCAAUUGCGUAGGCAGCUUACUACACGAUCAUUGACGCUGAGGCACGAAAGCGUGGGGAGCAAACAGGAUUAGAUACCCUGGUAGUCCACGCCCUAAACGAUGGAUACUCGACAUCAGCGAUACACUGUUGGUGUCUGAGCGAAAGCAUUAAGUAUCCCACCUGGGAAGUACGAUCGCAAGAUUG
Molecule: ribosomal RNA, 373 nt
Filed under: uncultured bacterium
Lineage: Bacteria
Description: bacterial SSU rRNA
Rfam family: Bacterial small subunit ribosomal RNA
Source: RNAcentral